GUCCAGAUUGUGGCUGAAGCUGAAUUUUAUGAGCCUUCCCCCAGCUCUCCUGUACUUCUUUUUCAGGUUGCUACUCUGAUCAAGGCUGACAGUUUGUCACACACUACUACUGCAGAGGCCAGAGCAUUUUGAAAGGCAAGAAACAGAACGGAAAUGGAGAGGAGAGCCCAGCAUGACUUGCGCCGUGCCAAAGGAAUACGUGUGAGUUGGCUUCGUGUCAUCGUAACAAAACCCUGAGAGAAAUAUCUUGAAAGAGCCAGGUUGGUCCAGACCUGCUGGCAAGCCUGCAGCCCCAUCCACCGAUUACCUAAUACACUUGUGACAUCUGCUUUCCUUGUUGUGAGAAAACACAGGGAGGAAGUGUGUGCAGAAGGGGUGAUGCCUGACCUACACACCCGGCAAUACCAGAAGUUUCACUACCUUCCGUUGGUAAACGCUUCAGGGAAGGCUCUGCAACCCUGAACGUGUUUUAUUGUAGAACCUCACUAGGAAACUCAUCAGUAUUUAUUAAAGAUGAAUUAAAAGAAGGAGGAAAAGGAAAAACGGGAUAGUGAAGAGAAUAGAUGAAUGAAAAAGAAGCAAAGGGAAGAGAGGAGGAAGGGACAAAGAGGGCAAGAAAAGAGAAAAGAGAGAUGAGAGACCAGGACUUCCCACCUAACCUUACCAAACUUUUUCAGUUGAGCUUUUAAUGGGAUACUAUUCCCAAGAGGAAAUUCAAAAAGAAAACCACCUUGAAACAUCCUUGCUUUUAAUUGUACUCUUUCAACUGCCAGGAAAUUAAUUAGGUGUCCAGCUACAGAGGCCAAGCCUGUGAUUUACAUCAAGCAAAGAGUCCUGGGAGAAAGAGGAGGAAAGACCGCCUUUGCCUGGGACAAGAUUCCUAUUUGUGUCAAGGAGAGUUAGGGACGAGAUGGUUGAGGCAGAGCAGCUGACUGCAGUCUUUAUCCAGUUUGCAUUGCUUUGGGGAAAGCCUUUUAACUGCAAGCCGGAUUGUCCAGAUGCUGGGCUGUCCGGAUGCUGGAUGGUCCAGAUGCUUUGUCGUGGUUGUUCCCUCUGAGUUUCCUCUGCCUUCUGGCUCCUCUUAGUCACCUUCACAACAGGGCUUUAUCAGGACUCUAGAGCAUCGGGCAAGCUCAGGUCUCACCUCUCCUUUUAAUUCUGCAGGAGUCUAUGCCAUGUACUCCAGCCCUGCAUAGAAUGAGUUCUGGAGUUCACCUGGAGCCCACGGAGAGUGGAUGUGGAACUUUUCUGUAGAACAUAGGAGCCGUCUGUACCGGCACAGCUUCAGCCAGCAAUAAGCAUUACCAGCUCCUGCCAGAGGAGCAAGAGGCAGCCACUGAGCUAUAGAGAUCCACACUCCGUCCCUCGUACAACUGCCGCUGUGACCACCUUCUCCUUUCUGCUUUAUUACGUCUGAGAAGCAUUUCAUAUGAUAACCUUCCCUUUCACUCUGGCCUGGACCCUUAUUGAAAAGGAAGAAGCAGUGGAAGAGAUCAGACAAGCAGUGUUGUUCGAGACACUUCCUAAUUCCCUUAACAAGGGUUAUGAAGUUUCGGCUGGGAAAAAGGACAAGGGGCAGAGACAGUGUUUAUUUACAGAAUGGUUCUAGAAGAGCUGACAGGCUUCGAAUGGCCGUGGGUUGUACGGUUUUGACAUUUAACAAUUUUAUUAACAUCUUUGCUUAUUAUUCACCUUAAUCUUCAGCGUCUGCAGCCAGGAAGGAGUGUGCCCAGCUGACAGCCUGUGUCUCAGGCCCUGCCAGGGGAUGAAUCAAUUAGCAGGAGAAGCCAUGAUGCAAACGUUCUGGGGUCACUUGAGAGGCUGUUUGCCUUUCUGAUAGAGAAAGCACACCAUAAAUACCAUCACACCUCAGGAAAUCAUCCCGGGAGGCCCAGAUGCUAGCACGACGGCUGUCACUGCUGUGGGGACAGAGGGAAUCCUUGGCUCCCUGGGUGGAUUUCCCUCAUGCCGGUCAAUAGAAGAUUUGUAGUGAAAUCAAAAUAUUUUAAAGGAGGACAGUGUGCGGUAACAGAGGCUUGUUUAGCUUUUUUUUUUAAGUACCAGAACCCAUGAUUUAUGACCCACAGUUACAACCAACUUUAUUACAAAAAUGACUUCACCCAUAAUAACCUUAUUCAGGAAUCCUUACAGAAUGAUGUAGUAUCCCCAAAGCAUUAUAAGCUAGCAAAUAUUCACAAACAAUUCCUACUGCUGUCCCUUUUCCCCACCCACUCAGUGGUAGGGUAGGAUUCCCCCCCACCCCUUUUUUUUUUUUUUAACCAGCUGGGAGAAAGAGGUCCCAGACAAGCUUCUAUAUUCUUUUGGUAGACAUUUGCCAGGUCAGGCAUUUCAAAUCACCCAGGACAGAGGCUGCCUCCUAGCUUCGACCUUUAUCUUCCCCAACCAGUGCCCUGGGCAACAGCACAGGGCUCCAUUCACCUUCACUGCCUCCCUGAGCAUCCCUGUCUCCCUCCCUCGUUGGAUACCCAGUAUCUGGGGGUAGCUUCAUGAAGUCCCUCCCCUUUUAAUUGCCAUGGUAACCGACAGCUGCAUUAAAAUGGCCAGGACUUGGGGGGUCCAAGCAAUGUCCCUCGGGUGUGCCUGGAUCUAGGAACUGGUUCUCUAUCUUAUUAAACUCAGGUGUCAGUCCCUAGCAUUUGUGUUAAAUUUACACCCUCCAAGUCGGUCAGUGGGAUUACAUGUCCAUUUGCAUUAAAACAGGUUUCUGUCAUUAAA
RNAcentral lists this long non-coding RNA (2736 nucleotides) under Mus musculus (house mouse). Its description in RNAcentral is "RIKEN cDNA 2600014E21 gene". The record is from RNAcentral. Lineage: Eukaryota; Metazoa; Chordata; Mammalia; Rodentia; Muridae.